This 1554-nucleotide ribosomal RNA is filed under the name Salmonella enterica subsp. enterica serovar Heidelberg. RNAcentral's name for it is "bacterial SSU rRNA". It matches the Rfam family "Bacterial small subunit ribosomal RNA". Lineage: Bacteria; Pseudomonadati; Pseudomonadota; Gammaproteobacteria; Enterobacterales; Enterobacteriaceae. RNAcentral also lists the same sequence under 2 other names. The record is from RNAcentral.
AAAUUGAAGAGUUUGAUCAUGGCUCAGAUUGAACGCUGGCGGCAGGCCUAACACAUGCAAGUCGAACGGUAACAGGAAGCAGCUUGCUGCUUUGCUGACGAGUGGCGGACGGGUGAGUAAUGUCUGGGAAACUGCCUGAUGGAGGGGGAUAACUACUGGAAACGGUGGCUAAUACCGCAUAACGUCGCAAGACCAAAGAGGGGGACCUUCGGGCCUCUUGCCAUCAGAUGUGCCCAGAUGGGAUUAGCUUGUUGGUGAGGUAACGGCUCACCAAGGCGACGAUCCCUAGCUGGUCUGAGAGGAUGACCAGCCACACUGGAACUGAGACACGGUCCAGACUCCUACGGGAGGCAGCAGUGGGGAAUAUUGCACAAUGGGCGCAAGCCUGAUGCAGCCAUGCCGCGUGUAUGAAGAAGGCCUUCGGGUUGUAAAGUACUUUCAGCGGGGAGGAAGGUGUUGUGGUUAAUAACCACAGCAAUUGACGUUACCCGCAGAAGAAGCACCGGCUAACUCCGUGCCAGCAGCCGCGGUAAUACGGAGGGUGCAAGCGUUAAUCGGAAUUACUGGGCGUAAAGCGCACGCAGGCGGUCUGUCAAGUCGGAUGUGAAAUCCCCGGGCUCAACCUGGGAACUGCAUUCGAAACUGGCAGGCUUGAGUCUUGUAGAGGGGGGUAGAAUUCCAGGUGUAGCGGUGAAAUGCGUAGAGAUCUGGAGGAAUACCGGUGGCGAAGGCGGCCCCCUGGACAAAGACUGACGCUCAGGUGCGAAAGCGUGGGGAGCAAACAGGAUUAGAUACCCUGGUAGUCCACGCCGUAAACGAUGUCUACUUGGAGGUUGUGCCCUUGAGGCGUGGCUUCCGGAGCUAACGCGUUAAGUAGACCGCCUGGGGAGUACGGCCGCAAGGUUAAAACUCAAAUGAAUUGACGGGGGCCCGCACAAGCGGUGGAGCAUGUGGUUUAAUUCGAUGCAACGCGAAGAACCUUACCUGGUCUUGACAUCCACGGAAGUUUUCAGAGAUGAGAAUGUGCCUUCGGGAACCGUGAGACAGGUGCUGCAUGGCUGUCGUCAGCUCGUGUUGUGAAAUGUUGGGUUAAGUCCCGCAACGAGCGCAACCCUUAUCCUUUGUUGCCAGCGGUCCGGCCGGGAACUCAAAGGAGACUGCCAGUGAUAAACUGGAGGAAGGUGGGGAUGACGUCAAGUCAUCAUGGCCCUUACGACCAGGGCUACACACGUGCUACAAUGGCGCAUACAAAGAGAAGCGACCUCGCGAGAGCAAGCGGACCUCAUAAAGUGCGUCGUAGUCCGGAUUGGAGUCUGCAACUCGACUCCAUGAAGUCGGAAUCGCUAGUAAUCGUGGAUCAGAAUGCCACGGUGAAUACGUUCCCGGGCCUUGUACACACCGCCCGUCACACCAUGGGAGUGGGUUGCAAAAGAAGUAGGUAGCUUAACCUUCGGGAGGGCGCUUACCACUUUGUGAUUCAUGACUGGGGUGAAGUCGUAACAAGGUAACCGUAGGGGAACCUGCGGUUGGAUCACCUCCUUACCUUAAAGAAGC